AUUGAACGCUGGCGGCAGGCCUAACACAUGCAAGUCGAGCGGAUGAAGGGAGCUUGCUCCUGGAUUCAGCGGCGGACGGGUGAGUAAUGCCUAGGAAUCUGCCUGGUAGUGGGGGAUAACGUCCGGAAACGGGCGCUAAUACCGCAUACGUCCUGAGGGAGAAAGUGGGGGAUCUUCGGACCUCACGCUAUCAGAUGAGCCUAGGUCGGAUUAGCUAGUUGGUGGGGUAAAGGCCUACCAAGGCGACGAUCCGUAACUGGUCUGAGAGGAUGAUCAGUCACACUGGAACUGAGACACGGUCCAGGCUCCUGCGGGAGGCAGCAGUGGGGAAUAUUGGACAAUGGGCGAAAGCCUGAUCCAGCCAUGCUGCGUGUGUGAAGAAGGUCUUCGGAUUGUAAAGCACUUUAAGUUGGGAGGAAGGGCAGUAAGUUAAUACCUUGCUGUUUUGACGUUACCAACAGAAUAAGCACCGGCUAACUUCGUG
This 484-nucleotide ribosomal RNA is filed under the name uncultured bacterium. RNAcentral's name for it is "partial 16S ribosomal RNA". It matches the Rfam family "Bacterial small subunit ribosomal RNA", at positions 30 to 507 of the family's 1533-position model. The record is from RNAcentral.